UACGUAGGGGACUAGCGUUGUUCGGAUUCCUUGGGCGUAAAGGGUGCGUAGGUGGUGCUGUAAGUCAGGUGUGAAAUCUCGGGGCUCAACCCCGAAACUGCACUUGAUACUGCAGUGCUCGAGGACUGGAGAGGAGAUUGGAAUUCAUGGUGUAGCAGUGAAAUGCGUAGAUAUCAUGAGGAAGACCAGUGGCGAAGGCGGAUCUCUGGACAGUUCCUGACACUGAGGCACGAAGGCCAGGGGAGCAAACGGG
This 253-nucleotide ribosomal RNA is filed under the name uncultured bacterium. RNAcentral's name for it is "partial 16S ribosomal RNA". It matches the Rfam family "Bacterial small subunit ribosomal RNA", at positions 524 to 776 of the family's 1533-position model. The record is from RNAcentral.